CGAAUUCGCCCUUAGAGUUUGAUCCUGGCUCAGGAUGAACGCUAGCUACAGGCUUAACACAUGCAAGUCGAGGGGAAACGACAUCGAAAGCUUGCUUUUGAUGGGCGUCGACCGGCGCACGGGUGAGUAACGCGUAUCCAACCUGCCCACCACUUGGGGAUAACCUUGCGAAAGUAAGACUAAUACCCAAUGAUAUCUCUAGAAGACAUCUGAAAGAGAUUAAAGAUUUAUCGGUGAUGGAUGGGGAUGCGUCCGAUUAGCUUGUUGGCGGGGUAACGGCCCACCAAGGCGACGAUCAGUAGGGGUUCUGAGAGGAAGGUCCCCCACAUUGGAACUGAGACACGGUCCAAACUCCUACGGGAGGCAGCAGUGAGGAAUAUUGGUCAAUGGACGAGGGUCUGAACCAGCCAAGUAGCGUGCAGGAUGACGGCCCUAUGGGUUGUAAACUGCUUUUAUAAGGGAAUAAAGUGAGUCUCGUGAGACUUUUUGCAUGUACCUUAUGAAUAAGGACCGGCUAAUUCCGUGCCAGCAGCCGCGGUAAUACUGAAUGUCCGGGCGUUAUCCGGAUUUAUUGGGUU
This 578-nucleotide ribosomal RNA is filed under the name uncultured bacterium. RNAcentral's name for it is "bacterial SSU rRNA". It matches the Rfam family "Bacterial small subunit ribosomal RNA", at positions 1 to 560 of the family's 1533-position model. The record is from RNAcentral.